This 468-nucleotide ribosomal RNA is filed under the name uncultured bacterium. Its description in RNAcentral is "partial 16S ribosomal RNA". It matches the Rfam family "Bacterial small subunit ribosomal RNA", at positions 28 to 507 of the family's 1533-position model. The record is from RNAcentral.
GAUGAACGCUGGCGGCGUGCUUAACACAUGCAUGUCGAACGGUGAAGGCGGAGCUUGCUCUUCUGGAUGAGUGGCGAACGGGUGAGUAACACGUGAGCAACCUGCCCCUGACUUUGGGAUAAGCGCUGGAAACGGCGCCUAAUACUGGAUACGAGCUGCCAAGCCAUCUUCAGCAGCUGAUAUUCACUUCGGUCAGGGAUGAGCGCGCGGCCUAUCAGCUUGUUGGUGGGGUAGCGGCUGACCAAGGCGUCGACGGGUAGGCGGCCUGGGAGGGUGAACGGCCACACGGGGACUAAGAGACGGCCCAGACGGCUACGGGGGGCAGCAGUGGGGAAUAUUGCACAAUGGGCGAAAGCCGGAGGCAGCAACGCCGCGUGAGGGACGACGGCCUGCGGGGUGUAAACAGCUUUUGGCAGGGAAGAAGCGGAAGUGACGGUACCUGAAGAAAAAGCACCGGCUAACUACGUG